This 937-nucleotide long non-coding RNA is filed under the name Malus domestica (apple). RNAcentral's name for it is "long non-coding RNA (MDOM_LNC013131)". Lineage: Eukaryota; Viridiplantae; Streptophyta; Magnoliopsida; Rosales; Rosaceae. The record is from RNAcentral.
AGAAACUCAGAAAACAAUUCUUUCUCUCUCUUCAUUCUCUCUCCAAAGGCACUCUCUCACUCUGCAACUCUCUCAAACAAACACUAAACUUCACCAACGUAACCUGAAACCUACACCAUUGUGUUCAUCUCGACUCCACAAACACAACCAUACCACUAGAUCACACACUGACCAUGUUUUGGACAUCGAACUCGGAAGGUCCGAACUCAGUGAGUUUGAGUUCAACGAGUCUCAAGCCAAGUCAAGGAUUUUUUAAGGUCGGGGAAGCUUUCUUACAACCCCCCGAGGUCUUUAGUGAAGGUUUUGUGAAGAAACAAACUCGAAAUACAAGGUUUCGAGAAGUCCCUGUUUUAGUCGUACUUUUCAAGGCAUUUUCAGGCCACCUUCGUCCACUUUUUCGACUCCAAAAAGGUAUAACGCGAUUCUACUCAUCAUAAGCUUCAUUUCCAUAUAAAUUUGUGAAAAAUGGUUGAGGAAUGAACAAGAUAUGAAGGUUUGAAAAUUUUCCCAAAAACUGGCGAAAUUUUCCAGUUUUCGAUGAGUUCAAACGAUGGCGGAUGGCGGUGACAGGCGAGGAUGACCGGAGGAGACGAUGGAAUAUUCCGUCAACUACGACAGAAUAUUCUAAUGGCGUCAGGUAACGUCGUUAACUUCUGUUAAGGUUUUAAAGGAAUAUUCCUAAUGCCAUUAGUCACGCGGAUCUCACCUGCUGCGCAUGGCCGGUGUGUGUGGCCAUGCCUUGGCUGGCACGUGAGGGCACGUCCAAUGUCUAAAAAUUAUUCUGAAAAUUUGUGUAGGUUCGUGACGUCGAGUAGAUCGAUUUCAUGUAUUUAAACUUUAAGUUUGAGCAAACUAUGGGGGUUUUAUUUAAGUUUCCAUAUAUGUGUUUAAUUAAUUUAAAUAUAGUUAUUUAGAUCUGUAAACGAGUCAAGUUUAU